AGUUUUCAGAGUCUUACCACAGGAGGGCAGGACUUCCUUGAGUACUGGACAAACUGAGACACAGUCUGCAUGCACAUUGAUAAUUCUGCAGGUAAUGCUGGAUCCGAUCUGCUGAGUCCUCGAAGUGGAAAAUCUCAAAGCCGGGCUUCCCUUUAUCAGCCCUUCCUUCUGAGGAAGAAAGAGAACUUCCUUCAAAACAGGUGCAGACUGUUGAUGGGGGGCUUGUGCUGGAGAGACAGACUCUGACACACUUCUGAUCUAAGGAGGAUGCCUGCCGUUUGAGUCACAGCUGUAACCAGCAAAAUCCCUCCAGACAUGCAUGGCCAUCCUAACCGUCCAAAUGCAUCCAACACCUCCUUCCUUCUCUAUGGCCCAGAGACCCAGAUGCCAUGAAACUAUGGUUGGCUAAUUAAACAGCCAAAUAUACUCAUCCAUUAUCAGCAUACCUCAGGGGUUCACUGUGACACGCUGUACAUAUACGUGAGAGUGAGUGAUAGUGGGGGUGGGGUUUACCUCAUGGGUUUUAGGGAAGCCUUGGGGGCCUUUUGUCAAGAAAAGGCCCAUGGCAGUGUGAGAGCUAUGCUCCUAUGAGGGCACAUGUGUGCGGUUGUUUUGUUCUGUUGCCAACGCAGCAGAAAUCAGCUCUUGCAACACUACCAUUAUCAAAGUCAUCAAAUAAUGUUGCAGAUAUGACUUUCUUUGGCAGAACACAAGAGAAGUUCCUCCAAUGUUAUUUUGGACCCCAUUUACUUUCAUUGUGUAUGUGUUUUUUUUUUUAGGGUUUUCCA
Molecule: long non-coding RNA, 788 nt
Organism: Carassius carassius (crucian carp)
Lineage: Eukaryota; Metazoa; Chordata; Actinopteri; Cypriniformes; Cyprinidae
Exons: 3
Source: RefSeq, a predicted model, not a curated record